GCUGGGUUUGGGGAGGCGACGUUUCUGGAAGCUGCUGGAAAGCGCCCGAGUGGCGGAGGUGGCGCCAGCGGCCAGGGGGUGGGGCGUGAUUAAAACUAGUGCGCGGCUUUCUGCGGAGGGAUUACGCUGACGAAAGAGACCUGCUUGCGCGUCGCUGUUCCGUGGUCCGCGCGAGCGUGGUCGGGAGCCGCUGGUUCCUGGGGUGACCCGCGGAGGUGGGAGAGGGAAGGGCUUCCGAAGCCGGCGGGGGUGCCAUGGACCCUCUCCGCCGGCGCGGCCUUCACAGCUGGGCCGCGCCGGGCAUCCGUAGUCCGCUCUCCCAAAGCCUCGGUGGAGCUGAAGCUGCCACAGAGUGCAUGUUCACAAAGGGUCAUCACACACGGAGCUGCCCCUCCCUGUCUCCCUAGAGCCCAUCUUCGAGGCCAGGGGCUUUUCUACCAGGAUUCUGGGGUGUUUCUCCUCCUUUCCUCCCUCCCAGAUCUUCUCACGAUCUUUAUUAAAGAGCAUUGUGCAAUGAAGACCUUUCUACGUACAUCAUUCUCCACAUAUGUGAAUAUAUUUGUGCCCUAGCCAAUGGUACGGCUGGGUCCUGUCUACUUUGACUUAUGUGUUCUCCAUGCCAGUAUUGUAUAGUGGAGUCAACACCCUGUUGACUCUAAAGUAAGCAUAUGAGAUAAAUCACAUCACCUGAAUGGCUGUUUUUUCAUGUGAGCCCUGAGAGCAU
RNAcentral lists this long non-coding RNA (724 nucleotides) under Homo sapiens (human). Its description in RNAcentral is "HSALNT0372482". Lineage: Eukaryota; Metazoa; Chordata; Mammalia; Primates; Hominidae. The record is from RNAcentral.